AAUAAGGUGCCUGAAAUUAAAAGGACUAUUUUGAUAGAAUAGGUCAUGUAAUAAAUUACCCUUAUUA
This 67-nucleotide transfer RNA is filed under the name Triatoma rubrofasciata (large kissing bug). RNAcentral describes it as "tRNA-Ile". The record is from RNAcentral. Lineage: Eukaryota; Metazoa; Arthropoda; Insecta; Hemiptera; Reduviidae.